Molecule: ribosomal RNA, 484 nt
Filed under: uncultured bacterium
Lineage: Bacteria
Description: partial 16S ribosomal RNA
Rfam family: Bacterial small subunit ribosomal RNA
Source: RNAcentral
AUUGAACGCUGGCGGCAGGCCUAACACAUGCAAGUCGAGCGGAUGAAGGGAGCUUGCUCCUGGAUUCAGCGGCGGACGGGUGAGUAAUGCCUAGGAAUCUGCCUGGUAGUGGGGGAUAACGUCCGGAGACGGGCGCUAAUACCGCAUACGUCCUGAGGGAGAAAGUGGGGGAUCUUCGGACCUCACGCUAUCAGAUGAGCCUAGGUCGGAUUAGCUAGUUGGUGGGGUAAAGGCCUACCAAGGCGACGAUCCGUAACUGGUCUGAGAGGAUGAUCAGUCACACUGGAACUGAGACACGGUCCAGACUCCUACGGGAGGCAGCAGUGGGGAAUAUUGGACAAUGGGCGAAAGCCUGAUCCAGCCAUGCCGCGUGUGUGAAGAGGGUCUUCGGAUUGUAAAGCACUUUAAGUUGGGAGGAAGGGCAGUAAGUUAAUACCUUGCUGUUUUGACGUUACCAACAGAAUAAGCACCGGCUAACUUCGUG